GUUGACCUCGGAUCAGGUAGGGAUACCCGCUGAACUUAAGCAUAUCAAUAAGCGGAGG
Molecule: ribosomal RNA, 58 nt
Filed under: Cladosporium cladosporioides
Lineage: Eukaryota; Fungi; Ascomycota; Dothideomycetes; Cladosporiales; Cladosporiaceae
Also listed under: 29 other names
Description: partial 28S ribosomal RNA
Rfam family: Eukaryotic large subunit ribosomal RNA
Source: RNAcentral